UGGCAAUGAGGACAGGAAUGUUAACUGAACUACUGUGAUUACUCUAUACGCUAUUCUGAGCCAACA
Molecule: small nucleolar RNA, 66 nt
Organism: Elgaria multicarinata webbii
Lineage: Eukaryota; Metazoa; Chordata; Lepidosauria; Squamata; Anguidae
Product: small nucleolar RNA U54
Exons: 1
Source: RefSeq, a predicted model, not a curated record